This is a long non-coding RNA of Suricata suricatta (meerkat), 335 nucleotides long. RefSeq lists it as uncharacterized. The record is from RefSeq and is a predicted model, not a curated record. The transcript is spliced from 2 exons. Lineage: Eukaryota; Metazoa; Chordata; Mammalia; Carnivora; Herpestidae.
UUGACCAUUACUUCACAGAGCUCCCCCGCUGGACAGCCCUAUAAGAAACUAACCACCUAAGAGUGCCUGCUAUUGUCCCUGACGUUCUCCACAGGGCUACUAUGAUGUCACCAGGAAAGGCAUCCAACAAAUCAAGAAUGUUAGAGGCACAGAACGUGAGAGGGCUCCUACAUGAUUUUCCCGUGGUUUCAAAGUUUCCCUGAAGAUGAUGACCAUUCGACCUGUUAGUUCACAUAACUUCCCAGUAAGGAAGGGGAGAAGUCUGCUUUUGAGUCACUUAUCAUCACCUACAGGAGAUACCACAUAAAUCAUUAAAAUUAUAACUCAACUUGCAA